This 66-nucleotide transfer RNA is filed under the name Upogebia bowerbankii. RNAcentral describes it as "tRNA-Tyr". Lineage: Eukaryota; Metazoa; Arthropoda; Malacostraca; Decapoda; Upogebiidae. The record is from RNAcentral.
AAUGAAAUGGCUGAGUAAUAGGUAUUAGAAUGUAAAUCUAAGCACGAGAAGUAACCUCUUUCAUUA